This is a non-coding RNA of Ameiurus melas (black bullhead), 73 nucleotides long. The record is from the annotation of a GenBank genome assembly. Lineage: Eukaryota; Metazoa; Chordata; Actinopteri; Siluriformes; Ictaluridae.
GGCAUGGUGGUUUAGUGGUGAGCAUGUUUGCCUUGCACCUCCAGGGUUGGGGUUCGAUUCCCAUCUCUUCCCG